CAUUUUUACUCAUUUACUCAACUUUUCGUCUUCAUGGAAUUCCAAAACAGAGGGAGGACGAUCAAGCUAUGAGUCGGCGAGUCUUCUAAAAAGUGACAUCGAAGUGAAAUGCACUUAGAUUACGAGGAAAAUUUAAUACAGAACAAAUCCUAAUUAAAAGGUGCGAGAUCUUUAACGAGUGUCUAAAGCAAAAAAAAAAAAAAAAAAAAAAAAAAAAGAGAGAGAGAGAAAAAGAAAAGAAAAGAAAAAAACAAAAAAAGAAUUAAGUCUGGUAAGAAGUCUUUACUGAGAA
Penaeus monodon (black tiger shrimp) is the source of this 292-nucleotide long non-coding RNA. RefSeq lists it as uncharacterized. The transcript has 2 exons. Lineage: Eukaryota; Metazoa; Arthropoda; Malacostraca; Decapoda; Penaeidae. The record is from RefSeq and is a predicted model, not a curated record.